This is a long non-coding RNA of Canis lupus familiaris (dog), 1778 nucleotides long. RefSeq lists it as uncharacterized. The record is from RefSeq and is a predicted model, not a curated record. Lineage: Eukaryota; Metazoa; Chordata; Mammalia; Carnivora; Canidae. The transcript has 3 exons.
CGUGUCUCUCAUGAAUAAAUAAAUAAAAUCUCAAAAAAAAAAGAAAGUCUGGACUCAUACCCUGGGACAGGGUAGGCAGGGCUCCAUUGUUUUAUACUUGUGGGACUUAAGGCUUGAGAGGGCUAGCAGGCUCUAUGGUGUUUUCUAUGGGUCCAGGCACUAUUCUGAGCACUGUACAAAUAUGUAAACUGAAGAAUAGAGAUGUUAAGUAACUUGCCUAAGGUUACAUAAUUAGAAAUGGCACAGCUGGGAUUUGAACUCAGGCAGUAUGGCUCUUAAUUGUUACAUUAAAUUGCCUUUCGUGGGUAUAAAAGGAAGGUCCAAUAGUCAUUGGUUUCUCUUUCUCUUCUCCUUUCUUAAUGUUUAUCUGGGCUUUUAAACUGGUUUUACAAGUCAGUUGUUGGCCCCCCAUUCCUUUGAGGAGUUCCAAGAUGGUUCUAGAUAUGUACUACUCUUAUCCCUGCAUUAGAGAGAAUGGAAGAAUUCCAUUUCACAGACCAACAGAAUGAAUUUUUAAAAAUUGGCAUCUCUGUUUUCUGUUUUAGAAUUGGUCAGAUCCCCGGGGUUAUCGAAGAGAGUCCCCAGGAACCCCAGAAAGUAACUAAAAGUUCCCUGAGCCAGGCAGGCCUGCAGGCCCUCUCACCAGGCAUCCCGUGGUCCCGGCAACGCUGGAUGUUGAUGGCGGCCAGGUCAAAGCCAUGAAUCUUGUGUUAAAGAAGAGGGUGUGCAGGGGAAGCUCUGAUUCUGGACCCCAUGGUUGAUAGUUCUCAUCCAGGCGGGACAGAGUGGAGGGGACCUCCAAGUGGCCAAAGCGGAAGGCAAAGGUGAAGACAUUGGAAAUUCGGGGGUCAGCAGAUUUGUUAUAGCCUUGGUAAGGAGGGAUCCACUUCUGCAUCUCAUCACCGAGCACCAUGGGUUGCUUCCAAUUUGUUCAGCAGCAUAGACUGUGGAGAUUUCCUCUGAGUUUCCUCAGAGACAGAAACUUGCCUCUGGCCAUAGUGGACUGGCCCAGCUGCAGCACCAGACCAAGCUGGUUAGUCAGAUCUCAUGCUCAGGAAUUCAGAUUUUGGAUGCAGCUAUUCUAGACUGUGUCUGAUGGUGCUUGGUCUGAAGGGACAGGUGGGGCCAUAUGGGUGAUCGUUCGCUACCAUUUGUAGAAAAGCAGAGAAAAUCUGUCUGAAGACAGAGACAGAGAAACACAGAAAGAAGGAGAGAGAAAGAGAGAGAGAGAGAGAGAGAGAGAGAGAGAGAGAGAGAGGAACAACAGAGAGUGGAGAAAGGCAUGGAGAAAGAGAGACAGAACUGCCCUAAUUCCAGAUGGUUUCCAGUCUCUGGCUCUACCCCUUACUUAGACCCAGCUAUACUGCCUGCCCUGUGGUUCCAGGAGAAACCUGUAUCUAUUUGACAUAUGUAUAGGAUUGAACCAACACUAAACAUCUGAACUAGCCUGAAUGGGCAUUUUUUUCUUAUAGUCCAAUAAGCCCUGUUAUGGAUGGAAGUGUGUCCCCUUCUAAAGUCAUAUGUUGAAGUCCUAACCCCCAUUGUGAUUGUAUUUGGACAUAGGACCUAUAAAGAGGUAUUUGAGGUUGAAUGAGGUCAUAAGGCUGGGGCCCUCAUCCAAUAGGCCUGGUGUCCUUAUAAGACGAGAGAGAGACACCAGGGAGCUGCACACACAAAGGAAAGACCAUGUGAGGACACAGAGGAAAGGCGGCAGCCAUCUGCAAACCAAGGGGAGAGGCCUCAGGAGAAACCAAAACUGCUGACACCCUGGUCUUGGA